This 375-nucleotide ribosomal RNA is filed under the name uncultured bacterium. RNAcentral's name for it is "bacterial SSU rRNA". It matches the Rfam family "Bacterial small subunit ribosomal RNA", at positions 524 to 898 of the family's 1533-position model. The record is from RNAcentral.
UACGUAGGGAGCAAGCGUUAUCCGGAUUUAUUGGGUGUAAAGGGUGCGUAGACGGGAAGGUAAGUUAGUUGUGAAAUCCCUCGGCUCAACUGAGGAACUGCGACUAAAACUGCUUUUCUUGAGUGCUGGAGAGGAAAGUGGAAUUCCUAGUGUAGCGGUGAAAUGCGUAGAUAUUAGGAGGAACACCAGUGGCGAAGGCGACUUUCUGGACAGUAACUGACGUUGAGGCACGAAAGUGUGGGGAGCAAACAGGAUUAGAUACCCUGGUAGUCCACACCGUAAACGAUGGAUACUAGGUGUAGGGGAUAUUAAGUCUUCUGUGCCGUCGCAAACGCAGUAAGUAUCCCACCUGGGGAGUACGGCCGCAAGGUUGAA